GAGAGGAGGAUGGAGUAUAAAGAGGUGGAGGGAGUAUUAAAGAGGGUAAGGGAAGGAGGAUGAGAAUGCUGUUACAUUAUUAUAUUUAUACUCCCUCCACCUCUUUAUACUUCAUCCUUCUCUCUU
Molecule: microRNA precursor, 126 nt
Filed under: Prunus dulcis (almond)
Lineage: Eukaryota; Viridiplantae; Streptophyta; Magnoliopsida; Rosales; Rosaceae
Description: sRNA ncRNA
Source: RNAcentral